CCCUGCCUUUUGUACACACCGCCCGUCGCACCUACCGAUUGAAUGGUCCGGUGAAGCCUCGGGAUGGUGGCGAGUUUCCUUCAUUGGGAAUUUGUCGCGAGAACUUGUCUCACCCUUAUCAUUUAGAG
This 128-nucleotide ribosomal RNA is filed under the name uncultured eukaryote. RNAcentral's name for it is "partial small subunit ribosomal RNA". It matches the Rfam family "Eukaryotic small subunit ribosomal RNA", at positions 1651 to 1778 of the family's 1831-position model. The record is from RNAcentral.